RNAcentral lists this ribosomal RNA (199 nucleotides) under uncultured bacterium. RNAcentral's name for it is "partial 16S ribosomal RNA". It matches the Rfam family "Bacterial small subunit ribosomal RNA", at positions 576 to 774 of the family's 1533-position model. The record is from RNAcentral.
CGGUAUUGCAAGUCUGAAGUGAAAUCCCGGGGCUCAACCCCGGGGCUGCUUUGGAAACUGUUUAACUGGAGUGCAGGAGAGGUAAGCGGAAUUCCUAGUGUAGCGGUGAAAUGCGUAGAUAUUAGGAGGAACACCAGUGGCGAAGGCGGCUUACUGGACUGUAACUGACGUUGAGGCUCGAAAGCGUGGGGAGCAAACA